GGAAUGACCUUAAGUGUUUUGUUUUAGUUUCAGAAGCUCAUUAUGAACUGACAGUCUUGCAUUUCAAUGAACUUGGAGCAAAAAUGUUUAAACCCCAAAGCCAACACAAAAAGUUGAUUCCAACGAAACAGAACCCAAAAACCAACUGUCGAAGUCAAACACGACCUUGCCGGCAACCUCGAAACCUGCUGGAAAACUCGAAUCUCGACUAGUGAGGAACAACCUCGCCUCCGACAGUACCUCAAUCGUGAUUUCAAAACAGAUUGAAUGGACGAUAUCUGUAACAAAGCAAGCGAAGCUUGAAACCAGAUUCACGUGCCUCUCAUGCUCACAAAAACUCAACGAGUUCUGUGCGUAUCUGUGGCUGUGUGUUAAGUAUUUCCCGGCGAGGGGGAGAUGAGUGAUAGCUGCUUUGUAUUGGUGUGGAAGGUCGUUCUUCUGUUCCUAUUUUGGAGUUUUUGUUUGUUGUUUUCCAUUUGUGUUGAAGGUGAUGAUAGGAGGAGGGGGUCGUUUUAUUUUCUGAAAAAUGGCGCUAGUGUUAUGUGUAUAUAGGUCUGAUUUUUGUGUUAUUUUCGACUGAAGCCGAUGAAAUCAAGGGGUGGGUUUUGGGUAUAUGGCUGCUGAAAAAUUAUAUCCUAUAAGUCUUCAUGAAGAAGACGAUCCCUCAAUGUUCAGGGAAGUCCAAAAACGGCGUUGAUUUUUUCCCCAUUUCU
RNAcentral lists this long non-coding RNA (713 nucleotides) under Nicotiana benthamiana. Its description in RNAcentral is "long non-coding RNA (NBEN_LNC007424)". The record is from RNAcentral. Lineage: Eukaryota; Viridiplantae; Streptophyta; Magnoliopsida; Solanales; Solanaceae.